This 73-nucleotide transfer RNA is filed under the name Canis lupus familiaris (dog). It matches the Rfam family "tRNA". Rfam says of the family: Transfer RNA (tRNA) molecules are approximately 80 nucleotides in length. Their secondary structure includes four short double-helical elements and three loops (D, anti-codon, and T loops). Lineage: Eukaryota; Metazoa; Chordata; Mammalia; Carnivora; Canidae. RNAcentral also lists the same sequence under 2 other names. The record is from Rfam by way of RNAcentral.
ACCUGGUUGGCUCAGUUGGUAGAAUGUGAGACUCUUGAUCUCUGGGUUGUGAGUUCCAGUUCCACAUUAGGUG